This 163-nucleotide small nuclear RNA is filed under the name Cervus elaphus hippelaphus. It matches the Rfam family "U1 spliceosomal RNA". From Rfam's summary of the family: U1 is a small nuclear RNA (snRNA) component of the spliceosome (involved in pre-mRNA splicing). Its 5' end forms complementary base pairs with the 5' splice junction, thus defining the 5' donor site of an intron. The record is from RNAcentral. Lineage: Eukaryota; Metazoa; Chordata; Mammalia; Artiodactyla; Cervidae.
AUACUUACCUGGCAGGGGAGAUACCAUGAUCACGAAGGUGGUUUUCCCAGGGCGAGGCUUAUCCAUUGCACUCCGGAUGUGCUGACCCCUGCGAUUUCCCCAAAUGUGGGAAACUCGACUGCAUAAUUUGUGGUAGUGGGGGACUGCGUUCGCGCUUUCCUCU